UAGGGAAUCUUCCGCAAUGGACGCAAGUCUGACGGAGCAACGCCGCGUGAGUGAAGAAGGAUUUCGGUUCGUAAAACUCUGUUGUUAGAGAAGAACAGCGCAUAGAGUAACUGUUAUGCGUGUGUCGGUAUCUAACCAGAAAGCCACGGCUAACUACGUGCCAGCAGCCGCGGUAAUACGUAGGUGGCAAGCGUUGUCCGGAUUUAUUGGGCGUGAAGCGAGCGCAGGCGGUCAAUUAAGUCUGAUGUGAAAGCCCCCGGCUCAACCGGGGAGGGUCAUUGGAAACUGGUUGACUUGAGUGCAGAAGAGGAGAGUGGAAUUCCAUGUGUAGCGGUGAAAUGCGUAGAUAUAUGGAGGAACACCAGUGGCGAAGGCGACUCUCUGGUCUGUAACUGACGCUGAGGCUCGAAAGCGUGGGUAGCAAACAGG
Molecule: ribosomal RNA, 429 nt
Filed under: Bacteroidota bacterium
Lineage: Bacteria; Pseudomonadati; Bacteroidota
Description: Bacteroidetes bacterium partial 16S ribosomal RNA
Rfam family: Bacterial small subunit ribosomal RNA
Source: RNAcentral